GUAAAAAUCAAUUCUAGAAUGAGAAGCUACAAUUUCUAGCUUCAAGUAGAAUCAAUUCUGGAGGCAGAAUCAAUUCUACUUUUGAGAAACCAAACAAGCCAGAAUCAAUUCUACAGGUCUAGAAUCAAUUCUGGCUACUCCAGAAUUGAAACCAAACAUACGCUAAGCGUGUGUUUGGUUCUGCGGCGGAGAGAAUUGAUUUUGGCAGAAUUGAUUCUGUAAAAUUGAUUCUGGCCAAAAUUGAUUUUAAGCUGAGGUGGUUUAUGUUUGGAUAUAUUCAUGAAAAAGUGAGUUGAACAAAAAAUUUGAGUGUAAAAAUCAAUUCUAGAAUCAGAAGCUACGAUUUCUAGCUUCAAGUAGAAUCAAUUCUGGAGGCAGAAUCAAUUCUACUUUUGAGAAACCAAACAAGUCAGAAUCAAUUCUACACGUCCAGAAUCAAUUCUGGAUGCUCCAGAAUUGAAACCAAACAUACACUAAGUAGUUGAAAAAUAGCUUCACCCAUAAUCUCGUGGUCAUAAUGUCUGAUUUGAGUUGUUUGUGAUCAUAAUCUCGUGCCAUGUCUGCAUGCAAUCAACUAUAUUUUCAUGAUCGUUUGAUAAAGUUUGGACGGUCUUGAUUUCAAACUCGUAUUUUAGAUUUUAAAAUACGGAUUUCUAAAUUUU
Molecule: long non-coding RNA, 662 nt
Filed under: Trifolium pratense (red clover)
Lineage: Eukaryota; Viridiplantae; Streptophyta; Magnoliopsida; Fabales; Fabaceae
Description: long non-coding RNA (TPRA_LNC013066)
Source: RNAcentral